Molecule: ribosomal RNA, 867 nt
Filed under: Triticum aestivum (bread wheat)
Lineage: Eukaryota; Viridiplantae; Streptophyta; Magnoliopsida; Poales; Poaceae
Description: partial small subunit ribosomal RNA
Source: RNAcentral
CAGAUUAUUGGCUUGAACAAUGUACCCCUUGCUGGUGACGAAUUUGAGUCUGUUGAUGACCUUGAUGUUGCACGCGAAAGGGCAAACGCGCGUGCCGAUGCAAUGAGAAUUGAAAGGAUAAAUGCGAAAGCUGGGGAAGGAAAAGUCACUCUGUCAUCCAUUGCAGCUUCCAUUUCAUCUGGGAAUCAAGUAGGGAUUGAUACGCAUGGGUUAAAUGUCAUACUUAAAGUUGAUUUUCAGGGUUCAAUUGAGGCCAUUAGGCAAGCCAUUCAAGCGCUGCCUCAAGAAAAUGUCUCUUUGAGAUUCCUACUUCAAGCUCCAGGAGAUGUGAGCCUCAGUGAUGUUGAUCUGGCUGUUGCUUCGGAAGGAAUUGUAUUUGGUUUUAAUGUCAAAGCUCCGGGGCCAGUUAAGAAAUAUGCUAAGCAGAAAAGUGUGGAGAUUCGAUUGUACAAAGUGAUCUAUGAUUUGAUAGAUGAUUUACGCAAUGCCAUGGAAGGGCUUCUUGACCUUGCUGAGGAGGAGGUACCACUCGGUUCAGCCAAAGUUCGAGCUGUUUUCAGUAGUGGCAGUGGAAAGGCAGCGGGUUGCAUGGUUACUACAGGGAAAGUUGUGGAAGGCUGCAAUGUUCGGGUUCUUCGUAAAGGAAAAGAAGUUUAUGUGGGUACACUUGAUUCCUUGAGACGGGUGAAAGAAACUGUGAAGGAGGUUGGUGCGGGGCUAGAAUGUGGUAUUGGGGUAGAUGACUUCGACGAUUGGGAGGAAGGUGACGUCCUUGAGGCAUUCAACACCGUGAAGAAGGCAAGAACGCUUGAGGAAGCCUCUGCGACUGUGACUGCUGCUCUCAAGGGUGCAGGCGUCCAGGUGUAG